GAUGAACGCUGGCGGCAUGCCUAACACAUGCAAGUCGAGCGAAAAGACGAGGCGCUUGCCUCACUGACGUCAGCGGGGGGCGUGUGGCAAACAAGCGGACACCCUCCCGGUGAAAAUCGGAUAACAUCGGGAAACCGGACCUAAUACGGUAUAAUAUAGUAAGCUGCAUGGCUCAAUACUGCAAGAGGGUUGUGCGGUCACUUAUAGAUUGAUCGGCGCCGCAUUAGCUAGUUGGUCAGGUAAAGGCUUACCAAGGCAACGAUGCGUAGCCGACCUGAGAGGACGAUCAGCCACACUGGAACUGAGACACGGCCCAGACUCCUACGGGAGGCAGCAGUGGGGAAUCUUGGACAAUGGGCGAAAGCCUGACGGAGCAACGCCGCGUGCAGGAUGAAGGUCUUCGGGUCGUAAACCUCUGUUGUUCGGAAAGAACAAGUGUGUGUGUAACUCUGCAGGUAUUGACGGUACCUAAUGAAUAAGCACCGGCUAACUACGUG
Molecule: ribosomal RNA, 497 nt
Filed under: uncultured bacterium
Lineage: Bacteria
Description: partial 16S ribosomal RNA
Rfam family: Bacterial small subunit ribosomal RNA
Source: RNAcentral